CUUGAUGACAAAUUGAACUACCCCAAGUUGAAUUGUUUUGUUUAUGUGUGUUGAUCUCUCUCUCUAUUUUCAUAUAGAUAUAAUGAAUUUUGUUUUGGUAACCUUGGUUGUUACUUUCCCUCUAAAUAAUCCAUCCAUUUAAUUUAUAUGCAUAUUAGCAUAACUAAGAUAUGACUAAUUUGGAACUCUAAAAAUAAAUAACCAAACCAAUCGGUGGAUAUAGGCUUAUGCUCUGUUUGGAUGUUUGCAUUGGGGGGAUUGCACAUUACAUUGGGUUGAAUGUCAAUAACUCAAGGUAUUGAUAUUGAAUUUGAAUGCCAAUAAUUUUGUUUGGAUGUUUAGAUAUUAAGAACCUGAACUUCAUAUUGAGGUUGAAUGUCAAAUGUUGUUUGAAACAUUUUAUUUAUAUCAUAAUCACUCUAUAAUCAUAGUCCACUCACAAAUCACAAUUUACAACACACACGCACACUUCUCUCUCAAGGCCUCCACACCUGCAGAGUCAAAAACAAACAUCCCCUUGUCCAAGGGUGUGCUUGGUUGGUGCCCACACUAGGAUUCUAAGCUAACCAUAUGAAUCAGUUGACUUUCAUUGUAAAAAUUUAUUUGUUUUGCUACUCUAUAGAAAUGUUCAAUAGUGUAGAGUGAAUUAAUCAUUGAGGUGAAUAGGGGCAUGUUGAUCCUUAAAAAACGAUAACUUAGAAGAAGCAUCAUUCAUUCCCAAAAUAUCAACUUGGUUUGCCAUUUUGGUCCUCAAAGUUCUGAAAUUAUAUGACAUGAUACUAAACACUGCAUGGUUGUUGUUUGUAGGAUUGCGUAUGCAGGCAGCAUGUUGGUGACUGGCUCUCCAACAGAAGAACGAUUCUUCUAUGGAGUGUGGCUGAGUCCCAACAACCAGGAAUGGAAAAGUGGCAAUGGAUAUUGCAGGCCUAGCAGGGUUAGGAUCGUUGCCAAUCCUCCAGACCGGAUAUACUCCUUGUAAAAGCCGGUAGGUGCACUUGGAAGAUCGAUCCGAGGGUAUGGCGAGACUAGGGUGAUCAUGUCAUGGAACCAUCAUUGGGCAGACCGUUUGAUUCUCAUGGUUACGACUUCUACAAAUUGUAUUUCUGGGAGCACAGUAGGAAGAGCACGCUGAACUUGCAAAGGACCAAACUGUUGUAUGGAUUGUGAGAUGUAAGCUUAUAUGUUUAGGCGAUAAAUUGGGCAUGUCACUAAAAUUAGUCGUCCAUGUAUCAACUAUGAUCAUUGAUCACUUAAUCUUAUAUGCUUGGCCCCUGGUAUGCUUCCUAGGGCUUCUGCACA
Lolium rigidum is the source of this 1299-nucleotide long non-coding RNA. RefSeq lists it as uncharacterized. The transcript is spliced from 2 exons. Lineage: Eukaryota; Viridiplantae; Streptophyta; Magnoliopsida; Poales; Poaceae. The record is from RefSeq and is a predicted model, not a curated record.